This 771-nucleotide ribosomal RNA is filed under the name uncultured Neocallimastigales. Its description in RNAcentral is "partial large subunit ribosomal RNA". The stretch from base 4 to 661 matches the Rfam family "Eukaryotic large subunit ribosomal RNA", at positions 24 to 664 of the family's 3401-position model. Lineage: Eukaryota; Fungi; Neocallimastigomycota; Neocallimastigomycetes; Neocallimastigales. The record is from RNAcentral.
GUACACGCUGUGACUAGCAUAUCAAUAAGCGGAGGAAAAGAAACUAACAAGGAUUCCCUCAGUAACGGCGAGUGAAGCGGGAAGAGCUCAAAUUUGAAAUCUUGAAAGGUCACCUUUCACGAAUUGUAGUUUAAAGAAGUGUUCUCUGUUACGAUCGUAAUAUAAGUUCUUUGGAAUAGGACAUCACAGAGGGUGAGAAUCCCGUCUAUGAUUGCGAUUUGUAGCUUUGUGAUACACUUUCAAAGAGUCGGGUUGUUUGGGAAUGCAGCCCAAAACGGGAGGUAAAUUUCUUCUAAGGCUAAAUAUUGGCGAGAGACCGAUAGCGAACAAGUACCGUGAGGGAAAGAUGAAAAGAACUUUGAAAAGAGAGUUAAAUAGUACGUGAAAUUGUCAAAAGGGAAGCGUUUAACACCAGUGUUGUUUUCUGAAAAUCAACCUCUGUUAGCUUUAUGCAUGUUUGUUUAGACCUAAUCAGCUAUCUUUCAUGUUCUAUUGUUUGCAGUGGUGCACUUUUCAGUUUACAGGUCAACAUCAGUUUUUUUUACCGUAAAAAAGUUAAAGAAAGGUAGCUCAUGGCUCCGGUCGUGAGUGUUAUAGUCUUUUUCCUAUGCGGUAGGAGAGACUGAGGUCUGCAGUGUAGGCUAUUUGGCUAGAUACUCAGGUGCUAUGUGAUACCAUUUCAUAAACAACUUGUUGAUUAUGUUUUGUCUAUUGCAUACUCGCUUGUACUAUCAUACCUACGCUUAGGAUGUUGAGUAGCGACAUACGCAC